Molecule: long non-coding RNA, 634 nt
Filed under: Rattus norvegicus (Norway rat)
Lineage: Eukaryota; Metazoa; Chordata; Mammalia; Rodentia; Muridae
Description: long non-coding RNA NONRATT001537
Source: RNAcentral
GGGACAACAGGGACAAGGUGAGGCAGGGAAAGGCUGGGAGACAAGUCCUGGCACCACCAAGCCAUAUCCCACAAAUAGCAAUGAGAUAAUACAGAAUAGGCCAGAACCAACCCGGAAAGAGACGCACGGUGAAAAUUCAGCACAACCUGAGGGAAAGCUAGGAUCUCUAGCCGUGCGGUGCUUCAUGGACUCUUCCCUGCAGGUACCAGCCAGCGAUUACCAGCCUCCAGUAGCCUGUCAGGGACAGGCGGGACCUCAUAAGUCCUUUCACCCUCUAAGAUGAAAUGUUGCAGGGCCCACGCUUGUGCAGGCCACCACAGCUGCCAUCAUCAUAUACCAGAGGCCAUCUCUCCUGAGUCUUUUGAGGAAGAGCAAAGAUGAUAUGUGACUCCAAGGCUGAGGGUCUGGUUGCGUCACGGUGGUAGGAGAUGCACCCCCUUUCCGCACUUCCUGUUUUCUGCUAAUGAUUUCCAGGUAUAUCUUGUCCAGCUCAUAGCCCACAACCCAGGAAGGAGGCCCAUGUCUUCCGCUGCCCGCUGAGCCUCAGGAGUUAAUAAUUAAGGGUUUAAGAAGAUAGAAGCGUCUGGGAGGCCCCGCCCGGCCGCUGUGCUGCUGCUCCUGAGAGAUAGCAAAG